UUUUCUUGAUUAAAGUAACUCUUGGCUUUAUUAAUUUAAAUUUCCGUAUCUGAUGCAUAAAAGUACAGGUUUAGUCUAUGUAACAACAUUUGUCAUGGAUGUUUUGAAUUAGGGUAAAUAGAUGUGCCAGCUACCGCGGUUAUACAUUACUAUUAAAUUACUAACUUGUUUUUUCGUGUUGGUAAUAAAUUUAUUUAUUUGAACUCUAAGUGAAAUUAUUUUUAUUGCGCAUUUUAUAACAUGGAAUCAAAUUCAAAUUUAAAACUGGGAUUAGAUACCCCAUUAUUUUGAAACUAAGAAAUCAAGUAGUACUAUGAUAAUCAAACUUAAUUGAGACGGCGGUAAAAUCUUUAUUAGAGGAGGUUGUCCUGUAAUCGAUAACCCUCGUUAUUAGUCUUUCACCUAAAUUAUGUAUAUCGCCGUUGAAAUUCGAUUUAAAAUUGAAUUGAUGUAUUUGUUUUAAAGUCAACAGGUCAAGAUACAAAUAAUGGUAGAGGUAGAGAUGACCUACAAUUAAAAUGAAUUUAAAUUAAAGGAUUUAAUUGUAAUUUUUUCUAUAUAAUAUAACAAUAUGGCUGAUUUUGGUUUUAUGCACAUAUCGCCCGUCACCCUCUCAGAGGUAAGUCGUAACAAAGUAGAUUUUUCGGAAGAAGAGUCUAGUUU
RNAcentral lists this non-coding RNA (663 nucleotides) under Trichuris discolor. The record is from RNAcentral. Lineage: Eukaryota; Metazoa; Nematoda; Enoplea; Trichinellida; Trichuridae.